Long non-coding RNA from Vitis vinifera (wine grape), 2054 nucleotides. RefSeq lists it as uncharacterized. The record is from RefSeq and is a predicted model, not a curated record. Lineage: Eukaryota; Viridiplantae; Streptophyta; Magnoliopsida; Vitales; Vitaceae. The transcript has 2 exons.
GUUUUGAGGGCGUUUCUGUCCACAUCGCCAAGCUCCACAGUAUCACCAGGCCCUACAAAAAUCCAAACCCAGAGUGGCCUCCUCUCCAUUUCUCCAUGACUUCUUCUCUCAAUUUGUGGGGCUAGGGGAAGCACCCUACAACUAAGGUAAAUGGUUUCUCAACUCCCAAAAUUGCUUAGUUAAUCUAUUAAUGCAAGAAACGCUUCCCCUUCUACCGACAGGUUAAGAGGGUAUUUCCUUCACUUACUCUGCUUCUUGUUUCCAUGUUUGGGCUAUAAGGUAAACGUGGGGUGCUAAUCCCUUCCAAUUUUGUUUCCAUGUAUUAAUAUUGUUGGAGAAUAUAGUUGCAAACUAGAAGAAUAUAGUUGGAGGAAUGGGACAUGCUUUUGUAGAUGGUGUCUCAAACUCAAUUCCCUUGCUUAAACUUUUUGAGUUUAAUUUGUAGUUUAAAAUAGUGUUGAAUCCUUGGCUUUUGAGGAGUCUUAGGUUUGGACCUCACCACUUAUUUAUUCUCUUUGUAUUCAAUACAUAUGUGAGAGGAUGUCUUAAGGCAAUUAUCAUAAGUAUUAAUUGGCCUAACAUACAUUGUUAAUCUACUAAUUAAUAGCAUAAGCUGUUGGACUGUAACCAACAUUUCCUAAAGUUAGAAUUCCUAUCUUAUUUUGGUAAGAUAGAUGACUUCUUCUCUCAAUUUACAAGGCCAUGGACUCUACAACUAAGGCAAAUGGCUUCCUGAGUUCCAAAUUGCUAAGUUAAUUCAUUGACACAAGAAAAACUUCUCCUUAUACCAAUUUUAUUUCCAUGCAUUGAAAAGAAAAAAAAAAUCAACUUAGAGCGUUCUACCCCAUGGGUUUGGUGUAACUCUGUAAGGUAGUUGGAUGCAUAGCAUGCUAGUAUCAUAGAUACACCAAGCAAUUUCUUGUAUCCUUUUUCUUGGUCAUCACCUUGGUAAUUUAUGUAGAAGUGGUCAAAUGGCCACAAACUAAAAUUACCUCUCUCUCUCUCUCUCUCUCUCUCUCUCUCUCUCUCUCUCUCAUGCACAUAAAUACACAUCAUUUUUUGCUCAGUCUUCGUGAACUAUAGUUCCCUCAUUAUUAGAAUUCUGUUAAUUCCUCAUAUUAGUUUGAGAUUUUAUUUUUUUGAUUUAUUUAUUUAUUUUUAUCUUUAUAUUGGAAGAUGUAAGAUAUGUUGGAUAUUUGUAUUUUUGUAACUUCAAUAGUUCUUUUUUUUUUUUUUCUGCAGCAAGAAGAAAGCUUAAGCUUGAGGCUCAUGUUGUAUAUAUAUGCUUUACAUAGUUUGAUUGUACACCAAGUGUUUGUUUGCUUCGGUUUGUAGUCUAUGAUAUAGGUUUCAUACUUAGUUGCCUACCAUUUAUUUAUUUUUAUUGCAAUUGUUAUAAUUACCAUAUAUUCUUUCUGUUUUCUGCUUUGUAAAUUGAUUUUUGAGAUUGACAUCUCAUUUUAACAUGUACUUUUGUAAUAUGCUAUGUUUAUUACAUAUUCAGACUCAGGUCAAUGGUGUGUUCCUUUUUGCUACAAUGCGCUCUCUUUAAAGUUAGUGGAUUUGUUGCAGUCUGAACAUAACUUAACCCAUAGUACAUGUAUUGCAGAAAACACCUACAUUCCACAGUUUAUUGAAAAGAUAGCAACAUAUUAUCUGUGCAGAGCGCUUCAACAGGUCACCGUAGCUAGAAUUUUGAGCUAAGAACAUCAAACGUGCAGCCCUUAAAUGCAGCUUCUUUGUUGUGUGGUGAAUUUUUUGCUCAUAUAUACUGCUUUGCAUUUGUCUUCUAUGUGUGCCAUGGUUACUAUCACAAUAUCCAACAUGUCAUGUUCUCACUUUUGAACCUUCCUUCAUGGUUUUGAUCUGUUUUAGAGAGAAUUUGACACAAUCCAAAGUGGGGUUAGUAUUGCUUAUUGCUUUUGGCUAUUCAUAUUAUUUAUAAUAUAUAUAAAAUUUAAUUUCCAAUCACAUCAAAAACCUUGUAAUAUCCUCAAAUACACUUAUAAUCACAUUUCACAUUCUCCCUUCCUUUUCAGAUCACAUUAAUUGUU